AGAGUUUGAUCCUGGCUCAGAACGAACGCUGGCGGCGUGGCUAAGACAUGCAAGUCGAACGGACUAUGCUUUUAGUAUAGUUAGUGGCGAAAGGGUGAGGAAUAGGUAGGUAACGUACCGUUUUCAGGAUAGCGUCUGGAUGCUUGCAUCCUUCCGAAAGGGGCAUUAAUACUGAAUAAAGUCACCACUCUCAAGAGUGAUGACCAAAGAUUUAUCGACGAACGAGCGGCCUAUCUCCUAUCAGCUUGUUGGUGAGGUAAUGGCUCACCAAGGCUUCGACGGGUAGCGGGACUGAGAGGUUGGCCCGCCACAUCGGGACUGAGACACUGCCCGGACCUCCACGGAGGGCUGCAGUAACGAAUAUUGUGCAAUGAGCGAAAGCUUGACACAGCGACGCCGCGUGUAGGAUGAAGCUCCUCGGAGUAUAAACUACUGUCAGGGGAAAGAAAGUGCGCUUCGGCGUAUUGAUCUACCCCAGAGGAAGUCACGGCUAACUACGUGCCAGCAGCCGCGGUAAUACGUAGGUGGCGAGCGUUGUUCGGAAUUACUGGGCUUAAAGCGUGUGUAGGCGGAAUAGAAAGUGUCUUGUGAAAUCCCUCGGCUUAACCGAGGACUUGCUCGGCAAACUACUAUUCUUGAGGCAAGCAGGGGUGUGUGGAACUCUUGGUGGAGCGGUGGAAUGCGUAGAUAUCAAGAGGAACGCCAAUGGUGAAGACAGCACACUGGGCUUGUUCUGACGCUGAGACACGAAAGCGUGGGGAGCGAACGGGAUUAGAUACCCCGGUAGUCCACGCCGUAAACGAUGUCUACUAGGUGUUGGGGACUCUGACGUUCUCAAGACCGGAGCAAAAGUGUUAAGUAGACCGCCUGGGGAGUACGGUCGCAAGGCUAAAACUCAAAGGAAUUGACGGGGGCUCACACAAGCGGUGGAGCAUGUGGAUUAAUUCGAAGCAACGCGCAGAACCUUACCUGGGUUUGACAUGUAUGGAUGCCUAUCUGGAAACAGAGUCGGUUGCCCUUCGGGGUGAAACUUACACAGGUGCUGCAUGGCUGUCGUCAGCUCGUGUCGUGAGAUGUCGGGUUAAGUCCUUUAACGAGCGAAACCCCUACCGUUAGUUGCCAGCGCGUCAUGGCGGGGACUCUAACGGGACUGCCGGUGUUAAACCGGAGGAAGGUGGGGAUGACGUCAAGUCCUCAUGGCCUUUAUGCCCAGGGCCUCACACGUGCUACAAUGGUAACUACAGAGCGACGCGAUACCGCGAGGUGGAGCAAAUCGCACAAAAGUUAUCUCAGUCCGGAUUGUAGGCUGUCAACUCGCCUGCAUGAAGUUGGAAUCGCUAGUAAUCGCGUAUCAGCCAUGACGCGGUGAAUGUGUUCCUGAGCCUUGUACACACCGCCCGUCAAGUGAUGGGAGCCGGGAGUACCCGAAGUUGGAUUGCCAACCUUUUAGGAGGCGUCUACCUACGGUAAGUUCGGUGACUGGCACUAAGUCGUAACAAGGUA
Molecule: ribosomal RNA, 1503 nt
Filed under: metagenome
Description: bacterial SSU rRNA
Rfam family: Bacterial small subunit ribosomal RNA
Source: RNAcentral